UACGUAGGGUGCAAGCGUUGUCCGGAUUUAUUGGGCGUAAAGAGCUCGUAGGCGGUCUGUCGCGUCGGAUGUGAAAACCCAGGGCUCAACCCUGGGCCUGCAUUCGAUACGGGCAGACUAGAGUGUGGCAGGGGAGACUGGAAUUCCUGGUGUAGCGGUGAAAUGCGCAGAUAUCAGGAGGAACACCGGUGGCGAAGGCGGGUCUCUGGGCCAAUACUGACGCUGAGGAGCGAAAGCGUGGGGAGUGAACAGG
RNAcentral lists this ribosomal RNA (253 nucleotides) under uncultured bacterium. RNAcentral's name for it is "partial 16S ribosomal RNA". It matches the Rfam family "Bacterial small subunit ribosomal RNA", at positions 524 to 776 of the family's 1533-position model. The record is from RNAcentral.